Aquila chrysaetos chrysaetos is the source of this 1318-nucleotide long non-coding RNA. RefSeq lists it as uncharacterized. Lineage: Eukaryota; Metazoa; Chordata; Aves; Accipitriformes; Accipitridae. The transcript is spliced from 3 exons. The record is from RefSeq and is a predicted model, not a curated record.
GUCGGACGCCGAAGUUCGGGAGGCCGGCGCGCAGCAGGCCGAACUCAACAUCUGCGAUGGUCUGUGGGGGGAAGGGCGCUUUUCAGACCCCACGUGCCCUCUUUGAGUCCAGCUCUUCUUUCUGCGCUGCUCAGAAUAGUUGUUCAGUAAUUAAUCACACAAACUAAUGAAUAUUUAUACGGCGUGUAACUCUGACGUUUAAUCCUAAUGCUCCAGUUUUGACAGCAGUUGAUACACAACCUUAUGGAAAGCCCAGGCCGUUGCACGUAGCUGGAGCUUGUAAGGAGAAGCAGCUGAAAUCAGCCGGAGCUUCAGCGCGGAGCUGGGGCUUCAGUGAGCCAGAACUGUAGCAAGCGGGAGCUGGAACGAGGCGGGGUGUCCACUAUCUGGAGCGUGCAUUAGCCAGAGGCAAAAUUAACCUGUGGCUGUAACGAGCAGGAGCUGCAAUUAGCUGGAGCGUCUUUUUGCUGGAGCGUCCGUCAGCCGGACUGCGCUCCCAGCACGGCCGAAGGGCGUCCGGGCGCAGGCAGGGCUGUCGGCAGCAAGCAGCUCCGAGCAGCAGGGAGGCGAGUUGUCCUUCUGCCGGCGGGGAGCCCGGCCUCUUCCCUCGGGGAUGCAAUCCGCGCCACGCUCCUCUCUCUCUGCGUGGAGGGUCUCGCCCGGUCCGUUCCCGCGGGCAGAAGCGAGGUGGGGGUCCCCCGGCUCUCCUGGGGCAGCCCCCCUGUGAGGGGGCGCGGGCGAGGUGUCGUCGUCCCCUCGGUACCGGGCAAAGGGGAGAGAAACGGGCCGGUGGGAGCUCCUGGGGUGCGGAGAGCCCUUCCGGCAGAAUCCUCCCCUGUCUUUUCACCGUUGGCUGGGUGCGACAAGCAGGUUCAUUUCUUUGUCUCCUCUUUUCCCAGUGUCACCUUGCGCAUCACACGAAGAAAAUCCUGCGUGGUUAAUUCUGCUUGCUGCUCAGCUUGGAUGUCAGCUGGCACCGUUUCGCCCGUGGUUGCCCUUCUUCUGCCAUGACGGUACAAGACAGAUGGAAAGAAUCCAUAGUGGUCUGCAAGUACAAGGCUCUCCCAAGAAGCAUUAGCAGCCUUGUAACUAGUGAUAGUGAGUCCUGAGGUGUUUUUGAUGAGUUACUGCUUCAAUAAUGUAUUUUUUCCUUUAACCUACAGUGUGUAAUUUUUACUUCAGUUGGAAAGAGAUUUUCCACAAUGGAAGUCUUUCUCACUCAAAGAAAUUUUCUUUUAUGAACUUCCCAUCAGAGUGGAUCUUCAGAGGUGAUUGACCUGACAGUAGAAGUCAUCAGUAAUAAGACUUUUCAGUCUCU